UCGCACUAGUCGGGGAGAUAGCGGUGCCCUGUACCUGCAAUCCGCUAUAGCAGGGAUGAAUUCCCACACCCGGUCAAGCUUGAGUGCCGUCUGACCUAUGUAAGUGAUGUUGAGGGGACGGUCCGGCGCAACAGAAUCCCGUGAACCAUGUCAGGUGGGGAACCAAGCAGCAUUAAGCGGACUUUUCUGUGUGCCGCCGGUCUGCCGUUCCUGAGUCGGCUGCACAGGUUCGGGCAUUCGGCUUGCUCAAAUGUGGGUGUGCGA
Molecule: signal recognition particle RNA, 264 nt
Filed under: Candidatus Faecousia excrementigallinarum
Lineage: Bacteria; Bacillati; Bacillota; Clostridia; Eubacteriales; Oscillospiraceae
Description: signal recognition particle sRNA large type
Rfam family: Bacterial large signal recognition particle RNA
About the family: The signal recognition particle (SRP) is a universally conserved ribonucleoprotein involved in the co-translational targeting of proteins to membranes. Archaeal SRP consists of a 7S RNA and homologues of the eukaryotic SRP19 and SRP54 proteins.
Source: RNAcentral